This 253-nucleotide ribosomal RNA is filed under the name uncultured bacterium. RNAcentral's name for it is "partial 16S ribosomal RNA". It matches the Rfam family "Bacterial small subunit ribosomal RNA", at positions 524 to 776 of the family's 1533-position model. The record is from RNAcentral.
UACGUAGGGGGCAAGCGUUGUCCGGAUUUACUGGGCGUAAAGAGCGCGUAGGCGGAGAUCUAAGCGUGGCCUGAAAGCCCCCGGCUCAACCGGGGAGUGCGGCUGCGAACUGGGUUUCUUGAGGACGAUAGAGGAGAGUGGAAUUCCUGGUGUAGCGGUGAAAUGCGUAGAUAUCGGGAGGAACACCAGUGGCGAAGGCGACUACCUGGCCUGUUCUUGACGCUGAGGCGCGAAAGCUAGGGGAGCGAACGGG